Molecule: non-coding RNA, 455 nt
Organism: Lolium perenne
Lineage: Eukaryota; Viridiplantae; Streptophyta; Magnoliopsida; Poales; Poaceae
Source: RefSeq, a predicted model, not a curated record
AGGGUUCCGAUGGGGAGCUCGGAGAUGGCAUCGCAGCUGCAGGGCGACAGCGUCCGCCCGCUCAUCACGCAGGAGCUCCUCCUCGGCUGCACCGACUGCGUCACCGUCACGCCCGGCGAGCCGCAGUGUUGUUUGACCGGAAUCGGAGACGAACAUGGCGGAGGCGAGCAGCAAGGAGAAGCAACCCCCAGGUGCUCCUGGACGUGACUUUCAAGAUCAAGGACAUUUCACAGGUGGCGUCAGCAGACGGCGUUGACUCCGAUUACCGGCCACUGCAAUAUAUGCUUGCGUUGGGCGUGGUCGGUGGCUGGGAUGCAAUACUAGUCAUGACCGUCUCGGUUGUUCCAUGUGACACUAUUCUUGGUCUAUAUUCUUGUAUUGAGGAUUAUUGUAUAUUCUUGUGUAUAUUCAAACAAUUGAAAAUGCGUCUAAUGGGUACACCUAGUUUUUUUGUA